Molecule: long non-coding RNA, 491 nt
Organism: Alligator mississippiensis (American alligator)
Lineage: Eukaryota; Metazoa; Chordata; Crocodylia; Alligatoridae
Exons: 3
Source: RefSeq, a predicted model, not a curated record
ACUAGUAGGUGGGAGAGCAAGACGCAGGUCAAGAUCCGGGCCAAAGUGAAGGGAAAAAUUAAUUGAAUUAGCACUUGUUUCAAGAUGCACCUCAUCUCUUGCCAAUGUUCCUUGUUAAGAAAAAAAAAAGUUAGCUUAAGAACAUAAGAUGGAAGCAAGUCAAAAGUGCAGAAUCCAGAUAUGAUGUGAAAUGAGACACAAAUACAUGCCUCUCCCCUGGAGAUCAGUAACUGGUAUGCUAAGAGACAUGAAGCAUAUCAACGCAGCUGUGGGUCUUCAAGGAGAUACUCACUGACACUUCCUUUUCCCAGCAGAAGGAAGAACAGCUGUUAUAGUGCAGUACUGAGAAACUGCUGUUAAAAUAAUUCAUUGUAAAAAUUAUUAAUCCCAAAGGAUGUCAAGGAAUAAUUAUUAUACUCUUCUAUUGUUACAACAGCUCUAAAUUGGUCAUAUACAUUAUUAAUAAUUCUUUCCUUGGUGUUUGGAGAAUA